CCAAAGCGCCGCAAGCGGUCAGUUCCCGGGCCGGCUGCCAGCCACAGGCCCAAGUAAACGCUGAAUGAAGGGCAGAUGGAGGAACCUGUCCCGGUCCGGCGAGAGCGCCGCGGGCGCCUUUCCGCUUACCGCGGGCCUGCCCAGCCUCCCGUCCAGCCCGGGCCCGGGUCCCGCCGAGGCAGGUGUGCGCGGCGGACUCGCUCUCGGGCACUCGGCGGGACCGAGCUCCACCCCGAACGCCACCGGGCAGGCCACGCGCAGACCCGAGCCCGGGGCCCCCGCCUCUGGCUGCCGGCCCGCGCUCGGCCCCGGUCCCGCCUCCCGGAGGUUUUCGCUUUCGUUUUCCUGCCGAUGUCGUUGAGGAAAAUGAAAGUGGUUGUGUCCAGGACUGGCGCAGCUGCCGUUCCCGGCGAGGGGCGCAGAAUGCGGCGGCGGCCAGCCUGGAGCGCGGGUCCCGGGGCGCCCGCGCAGGGCGAGGUGGCAGCACACCCUGGCCCCCCAGGCAGUCCUGAGGAUGGCCAGCAGAGAAACAAGAAAAUGGACUCCCUGGCUGCUGGAGAGUUGAAUGCCAGCCGCCAGCCAUGGGUACCAGAGUUUAUAGCCCAUUGGAGGAAAACACAUCAAGAUCACCUCUGCAGCCUGUACAGCUGGGCCUUUGGACUCCUGGAUACUAGAGAGACCUGGGCGCUGAGGAAGGGUCCCGAGCCAGUACCAGGAAAGGACAGACUCCUGCUUGCAGCAUUCCCAGCAGAGAUAUCGCCUGUGGACACCACGUCUGUGUCUGCAUAUGGCAGAGCUCCCACAUAUAUGCACAAGGGAGUGAAAAAAUGUGUUUGCACCCCAGUCUCUAAAAAUUCAAUAGCCUGGUUACUUCUGGGUGGUAUAUUGCAGGUGACUUUAAUACAUGUUAUUUGCUCAUCUGUACUUCUUACUCUUUGUACAAUUAAACCAUGUUCCUUUUACUUAUGUACAUUUUUAAUAAAAGAAAGUUG
RNAcentral lists this long non-coding RNA (992 nucleotides) under Theropithecus gelada (gelada). Its description in RNAcentral is "lncRNA (ENSTGEG00000018838.1)". Lineage: Eukaryota; Metazoa; Chordata; Mammalia; Primates; Cercopithecidae. The record is from RNAcentral.